Long non-coding RNA from Peromyscus californicus insignis, 10195 nucleotides. RefSeq lists it as uncharacterized. NCBI's taxonomy places the organism in Eukaryota, Metazoa, Chordata, Mammalia, Rodentia, Cricetidae. The record is from RefSeq and is a predicted model, not a curated record. The transcript has 6 exons.
UGGAUGUUAGAAGACAACUUGCAAGAGUCAGUUUUCUCCUUCGGCCAUGUGGGUCCUGGGAUUCGAACUCAGGUCAUUGGGCUUGGCAGUAAGCACCUUCACCUACUGACUCAUCAUCCCAAUCCCUUUAUUCUUUCCCUUUAUCAGGAAGAAAUACAUUGUCUCUUCCAGCUCUAACACUCUAUGACUACCAUCGAUCCAGAAAAAAAAAUGUAAACUCCCAUUAUGAAAAUCACCAUCCAGCCAUUCAGAGCCGGUUCCAGACCUAAAGCUAGCAGGACCAGGAUACGCAGGAAGUGUCUCCAGAAGUGAGCAGAAGGGCGGUCUCCACAGGAGCAGCUCUGACUUAGUCAGAUGGUGAACAGGGAUGGAGAACUCGGACACGGAUGCCUCCAUGACUUGCUCUUCCCAGGCUGGCUGCUUUCCAAAAUACCCGGUCAGCUCAAUAUGCUACCCUCACCACUCCCGAUCUCUAACUGGCCCCUUCUAGCACAGAAGCUGACAAAACCCACCACGAGGCACAGUCCCAGUUCUGCUUGACAAGUUCUGAAUGUGAUGGUCCACUUAGGACCGGAUGUUCUGUUGCAGAAACAGAUAAAAGGCAGCUGUGCAGCAAUACUACCUCGCUGUUCUUACGGCACAUCUCACUGUGGAUUUCCUACGCGGCCGCCUACGCAGGAAGCCAGGGCAGAGGAAUCAGAGAAAGGCCUACUUUAGGUUUCCAGGAACCUGGAAGAACGCAUCCUGCCCACCGGCCAGGGCUCUUUUGAAGAAAUGGUGUGAAAAUUGCCCGGAUCCUUGUUCCCUCAAAGCAUCUCAGAAGCAAACUGCAGGAAGUGGUGGAUUCCGACAUAAAGGACAUCGUUUGCCUGCCUUAUUAUCUCAUUUUCCAGCAGGGCUGACAGGACAGCUGCCUGUUAUUACCGAGCACACCAGGAAGUGAUUUGCUGCCAAACAGAAAAGAGGAGGAGAGGGAUUAGCGUGCUCACGCCACACAAACGGACCUCUUGCACCUGGAAAAAACUGAGGGAGAGAGGAGUGUGAAAACCAUGCCAGGAAUCGAGUCACAAGCCACAGAGAGCCCCGCAAGCCGUCUUCCUGACUCCACAGGCUGCUAGCCCAACAGCCAUCCCACAACUUGUGCAAGGCUUCCCUGAGGUGCUGCUGUGAGGUUUGGAAUAAGCGUGUUGAAUUAGAUCCACCAUAACUAAGCCACCAUUCAAUGCCACGAUGUCUUACCAUGUCCCCUUGGGAGACACGGCAGCAUGGUUGUUUGGAUCUAAGAUCAAAUGCUGCUCAAUUUACUUACUCCACAGAAUAAUAGACCCCCAACCCUGCCUGUUUGCAAAGGGGUGGCUUUUCGUUCAUUUACCCACUCAUUCACCCCUUGAGGGAGCACAGGCCACUGAGGCUAUUCUGUGGGCUUCUGAAAUGGAUGCAGGCAAAACCAGAGUUCCUUUUAAAUGACCAUGAAACAAAAAGAUGGCCACAUCAUUUUUGGAACAAAACCUAGAGGGAGAAGAUGAUCUUUCCUUCCACUCCCUCAGCUUGCUGUCCCUGGGUCCCCAUUCCCACAGAAGGAGCUGUGGGUUGCGGCUGCUAGCCUGCUAAUUCCGAACACCCCUGCGCUGGAAUUUGGAAGGAAUGUGUGCAGUGCUCAAUACAAAGCUCAUUUGGCUUCAGGGACCAUUUUAAUUAAAUUAAUUAUCUCUAGAAGAAACACUUAAAGCUGUUUAGGCCUAAACAAUAGGUACUUGUUCUCAGUUCUAAUAUGAGCCCGUUGUUCAGAGCAUCCUUUUGGCGAGUUGAGGACAAUAUCUUACCAGAUACUUAAAAAGGCAUACACCCCAUGCUCUGUCGUGCACAGAGACAUUUACAGACAGCUGACAGAUGCCCUGCACACCUACAAACACACUCCCCUUGGCCGUUCAUCCCACCCUUCUCAGUUGGUCUGUCUUGCAUUCUCAAUAGUCCCCAGGACUAUCUUCCGCUUUUUGGGAAGGGAAAAAAAAAAAAAGGCAGAAGGGUGAAUGCAGCAUCCCUGAGGCAUUGGAGAGCAUCACCUCUGUGGCCUGUGCCCCUCCUGCCGCCUUCCCCCCUCACACACCCUUCAAGAGCACCAGGCUGAUCGUCAACUGGAUGGAGGCAAAAGAAAGGAGUGACGUGGCUCGCUCCUGUCAUUCUAGGACCUUUUUUUUUGCAAUGGCAAAGCAAGGAAUUGAAAUAAACUAGCAUCCUUCAUCCCACACCUCAUUCCCUGGUCCUUGCAGCUGGCGACUGUCCCUGGGAACAAGCCAGCAGAAGAGCCUCCUUACCCCGAGAGGCAUUUUUCAGAGCCAUGCACUAUCGGGGAGAGUUGCUUUUGUGAGGGCUUUCUGUGGAUGUUUUCCUGAGUGGAGACCUUUCUGUGUAACUCCAUCCUCAUGCCUCAGCUCCCCAAAUGGCUGAGAUUACAGGCAUGUCAUUACAAGUCUGAAUUAUGCUGUUUUUGUUGCUGUAGAAGCUCACUCUUAAGCCCACACUGGACUGGAACUCAUGAUCUUCCUACCUCAGUCUCCCAAGUUUGGGAAUGACAGGAAAAAAAAUAGCUCUCUGCAUCGUGUUUUAUUAAGUUCUCCUUGAAGGGAGAAUAGAAUACAGCAACACUUCCUCCCGGGACCCUACAUCCUUGAUAUAGUAAACUGCAUCAAAGUCCCUGGACUCCUCAGCAGAGUUGUGAGUGGUCAUGCUGGGCCGAGCUUUGGCCUCUGUUCUUUGGAGUCUUUUAAUAAGUGACCAGAGAGCAGAGAGCAGUGAAGAGUCGAAGAGUUGAUUGAUGCUGGCAGGAUUGGGUUUGCCAAGAUGAGUGCAAUGCUAAGGGGUGGAGCUUUUCUAAUCAGGUUUCCAUAAUAUUACUGUGCACUUGGUGUUGGGGUGAUGGCCAAAGGCCAGGCUGGCCCCUUCUAGCUUCUACUGUUCAUAGUUAUCCCUCUACAAGUUGGAUGUGGCCGGGCGGUGGUGGUGCAUGACUUUAAUUCCAGCACUUGGGAGGCAGAGUCAGGCGAAUCUCUGUGAGUUCGAGGCCAGCCUGGUCUACACAGCGAGAUCCAGGACAGGCACCAAAACAACACAGAGAAACCCUGUCUGAAACCCCCCCACCAAAAAAAGUCAGAUGUGGUCUGCAGCAUAGUGGUACCUCUAGGAUGCUCUAACUAAAAUGGUAAAUAAUAACAAUCUCAGAAUUAUUUUAAUUUGCUUUCAAUAUAUUCUAAUUCAUUAAUAACAGACAGAUGUGUGAGUCAAAACCUUGUCACAGGGACAGAAUGCCUAACAUGCACAACUGGAGAGGAAAGAUUUAUCUUGGUUCCAUCUCAAGGUUUUGGUCCAUCCUGGCAGGGAAGGUAUAAUCAAUGACCUUCUGAUAGUGUGAUAAAACACCAUAACCAAAAGCCACAUAUGCGAGAAAACAUUUAUUUGGUCUUCCAGUUCCAGAGGGAUAAAGAGUCCGUCAUGGUUGAAGGCAUGGCAGCCAGGGCAUCUACUGAAUGAAUGGUGGUCACAUCUGAGAGAUCAUCUCUUCAAAUGCAAACAUAAAACAGAGAGAAAACUGGAAGUAGGGUGAGGCUAUUUCCUCUCAAAGCCCACCCUCAGUGACAUAGUUUUACCAGCAAGGCCACACCCUCUCAACCUCCCCAAAUGGUACCACCAAUUGGGGACCGAGUGUUCGAAUACCUGAGCCUGUAGGGACCCUUCUCGUUCAAAGCACCACAGGGGGGAACAGGAGACCAGCCAGGAAGCACUGGACCAAAGCAGAACCAAAUCCAGCAUGGCAGAAAAUUGUGGAGCUUGUGGUAUUGUGGUUGGGUCUGCAACAUGUUUGGGCAUGCGCUCUUACGGCCUUGUUUACAGCCCACGUGGCCUCUUCUUUUAGCUGGCUCCCCUCCUUGCCCGCAGCUUGACUUGACAGACAGUCCAUGGACCUGGCAUCUCUAACAUCCCGGGGCCUCAAUUCCUAGUUAGGCUUCACCCUCAUAGCUUCACUGCUGUCUUGGGGGCUACCUGCAGAGUUUCUGACCCCAUCACACAUUACUUGGUUUUCACGGCUUUCCUUUGGAAUCUGGUUGGAGACCCCUAUGACUUUGCAAGGCGUGCAUUCUGUAUACCUGCAACACUAGCAUCAUAUGGGUAAUGCCCAAGUCUAUCGUCAGACUCAACACUAUCCAGACUGUGGUCAUAUUUUAUUUGUGCUCUAACAAAUAAAGCUUGCCUGCGGAUCUGAGGACAAAGCCAGCCACUAUAUUAAACAUAGAGGUCAGGCAGUGGUAGCACAUGCCUUUAAUCCUAGCAUUUGGGAGGCAGAGAUUUAUCCGGAUCUCUGUAAGUUCAAGGCCACACUGGGAACAGAGCAAGUUGUGGUGUCACACACCUUGAAUCCCAGCACUAGUUACCUAUAGAGGUCUGGAGGUCUGGACAGACAGGAAGUGAUAGAGCUGGGCAGAAAGAGGAAGUGAUGUAGCUGGGUAGAGAGAAGUAUAUAGGUGUGAGUAUACAGGAAGUAGCUCUCUCUUGGGCUGAGGAUUUCCUAGCGGUAAGAACUUGUUCUGUCCCUCUGACCUUUCAGCUUUCCCCCCAAUAUCUGGCUCUGGGUUUUUUAUUAAUAAGACCAUUUAGCAAUUCACUUUACACCAGACCCUUUGGGGUUCUUGGUGGUGGUGGUUGUAGUGGUGUUUUGUUCUGUUUUUGAGACACAGUCUUACCAUGAAGCUCUGACUGGCCUGGAACUCACUAUGUAGACCAGGCUGACCCUGGAACUCAUGGAGAUCCAUUUGCCUUUGCCUCCUGGAUGCUGGAAUCAAAUGUGUGUAUACUGCCGCGAGUAGCUUUCCAGACCCUCUUGAACACAGCUGCAGCGGCCUCUGAGAGCAGAAGCUGAGCAUGAGUCGUGUGGAAACAAAUGUCUAGGCAGCCCUGUACAAACAGGUCACCUUGUAGGUCUUCUCUUCCCAAGGGCAAGCCUUCGACACACAGGGUCUGGCUAGCCCCUGAGAUGCCCGUCGUCUUUCUUACUGUCCAAACGCCAAGUGUUUCCCUUCUAUUUAGUCGUGCUAAUCUCAACCCUGCCUCCCUUAGCCCCCAAUGGACCCUGGCAUUUCUGAAAAUCUACAAGUGUUUCAACCCUAUUUUGCGCCUCAAACCUGGCUAAAAGCAGCUAAAAAUAUCCACAGCACGGCUUAGAUGCUGGCUUGCUUUGAAAUGCCCACCAGACUAACCGGCUCAUCACUUUAGACUCAAAUGAUCGUCUCAGCUCUGUGGCAAUCCUGCCCCCCAUCUUCUUUGUUUCUCCUUGGGGCAUUAGAGGUUGAACCCAGGGCCUUGAGUAGUCUCAGCAUAUACUCUGCUGCUGAGCUACACACAACAUCUUCUGCUCCUCGAUUUUGGCCCUAGAAAAAUGGGCCUUGUUUAUCCUACCUCUCUGUGUGUUCGUUACAUUCCUUAUUCAUUGUUCCUCAUACACAUUCCUUAUUCAUUGUUCACUGGAAGAAGCUGUGAAGCCUGGCAGGGUGACGUAAGCUCAUCGUCCCAGUGCUUGGGAGGCCAAGGCAGGAGGGCCACCCAAACUACACAGUGAGUCUCAGAAAGCCAAUAAUAGUAACAACAGUAAUAGUCUCCAAACCUUGUCAGAGAGGGCUCAGGGUGCAGCUCACCAGUGUUGGAGAACUCACUCUGCUUACACAAGGCCCUACAUUCAAUCCCAGCACUAUUUUUUUUUUAUUUUUUUAUUUAUUUUUUUUUUUUUGGUUUUUUGAGACAGGGUUUCUCUGUGUAGCUUUGCACCUUUUCCUGGAACUCACUUGGUAGGCCAGGCUGGCCUCGAUCUCACAGAGAUCCGCCUGGCUCUGCCUCCCGAGUGCUGGGAUUAAAGGCGUGUGCUACCACCACCUGGCUAUUUUUUUUUAAAAGCCAAUUCCUUCAGGGUGAAAAGAUGUUAAUACAUCACCAUAGGCCAAAAGGAAAAAAAUCAAGAUAAUGCCUUGCUAUUGAAACCUCUUCCUUCAUGUUGAGUAUUUGAUUUGACCCUUGAUUUAAAUGAAUAAGUGUAUUUCUCUCAUGUGGCAAAUAAAAUGGGAUAUAUGGCACACAUGGGAAAUGAAGGGAGGCGAGAUGAAGGUGGAUCCACCGUGCAAAUGUGGAACUCUGUUGUGGGAUAUUUGUACACUGUGUGAAGAUACAUUGCUGUGACUGGUUUAAUAGAGAGCUGAACAGCCAAUAGCAGCAGGUAUGGGUGGGACUUCGGAAGACAGAGAGGACUCUGGGAAGAAGAAGGGUGGAGUUGCCAGCCAGAGAGGAAACAGAAGGUACAAGAUGAAAGAGAAGUAAUGCCACGUAACAGAAUGUUGAUUAAUAUAAAUGGGUUAAUUUAAGUUAUAAGAGCUAAUUGAGACAAGCCUAAGCUAAAGGUCAAGCUUUUGUAAUUAAUAAGAAGCCCCUGUGUCAUUAUUUGGGGCUGGUAGUGGGAAAGAAAGUUGUCCAAUAUGCUGUCCAAUGUGGAGACUCAAAUAUAUGUUGGCAGAGAGGUUACACCUUUGUUUCCACAGGAAACAAAAACUUAUGGUUUUCUUCAAAAUUAAUUAAGAUCAGAUUUGAUCAGGGGAGACCUCCUGAAAUCUUGACUACAGACAUGAAAAAAGAAACCAAAAAAGGCUACAGGACAGGUGAUAUAUAUGCUGAUCCUUCUCCUAUGGGAACAGCUCUGAGACUGGAUGAGACAUGAUUAAUCUUGUUGGCUACAGAAUCCUCAUGACUUAUUAUUACAUGCCACCCUUUCAUAUGGCAUGGGUAGAGGUUUGGUUAUAUAGUCCAAACAGACUUAUAAAGUUGACAAAUACCUUUUACCUGCUCAAACAUAAAACAAAAAAAUCAUCUUUAACUGACUCAUGCACACUUGUAUUAAUGCAGAUAUAUAUGUUACCUUUAAAAGUGUAUGUGUUUUUUUGGGGGGGGUGGGGGAGACCAGAUACCAAUAAAGACAAGUAGCCCAGGUGAUCCAGCCUCUCAAUGCCUCUGUUAAAGUUUUCUCAAAAGUCUACAUCCAGAACAACUUCAAAGCUGCUAGCUGAAAUGGUCCAGCCUUGGAGAUUAUUCAGCUAAGACUUCAGAGAAGCUCUAUACUUUGCCAUCACACAGAGAUGGAAAAUAAGCAAAAAAAUAAUACUGCUACUCUCCCAAGACUUGAGCAUUAUCCAAAUUUUCUCAGGGUCCCCUAAAGAGCCCAUCUCCCCCAGAGAAAAGGAAGCAGUCUAGAGAAUAUGACACCCACAUUCCCAAGAGGUAGAUGGUUUUUGAUCAUUUGGUGGGUUAUGGAUGAUUGUCAUUGUUUAGGGGAGGUUGGUUACAAGUUGUUACUGGUCAUGGUCAGGAAAAAAGCUGAACAAAAGAUACUAGAUUAGAUUCAGGGAUCUCUUUUUGAAGGGAGAAAGGGGGGAUAUAGUAUAGAAAUGAUGGGAUAAAAGGGUGGAUUGCUUAGUCUACUUUUGAACAACUUCAAAUAUUUUACAUUGAUAUGAAUUUUUGUAUAUUGAUACAAAUUUAAGGUUUUAUUGUUAGAACAUACUCUAUAUAUGUUUCUACUCUUAAGAUAUUUAUGUAUAGUGACAUAAAUUUAAGGUUAUUUUUGUUGUACUACACAUGUUUCUAUUCUUGUAUAAGGUAUUGUAUCUAUGCAGCUCAUUUAAAAAUGUAAAGUUCUAGUCCUUGUAAGCUAUUUAGGAUAAUUAAGAAAUACAGGUUAGUAUUUAGUCAUCUAUAAUAAUCAAACUUGUAGUCAUGUUAGAUAUGUUUUCAAAGUUAAACAGAAAUAUAUUUUAGAUAGAUAAAUGGAUUUCUAACACUUCAGAAAUCUACAGAAUAUGGCAUUUAAAAUAUUUUAAUAACAUAAGGCUUUUCAUGACAGUGAGAUACAUCUGCUCCCGGCAGCACCAAUUUACUUCAAAGAAGAUGAAGGGCAUCAAAAAAACCCUCCAUCUGGAGUUUGCAUUCAAUGUGACAAAGGUAGCCAUUUGGGCAAGAAACUGCCCUUACCUCAACUGCUGACAGUAUGCUGUCCAUACUGGACAAGCAGAACACAAAAGAAAGUGACUGCUGAAAUUUGCCAAGACAAGAUAGGGCAGUCCUUCAAAAUUCUUGCUUGACAGAAAAGCCUGUCAGACAUUCUAGGCCUGUAGGGUGAAGAAAGAUGCCCCAACACUACAGAGGAACCUUGGGUAACUGUCUAGGCAGCCAGUUGUUUCUGUCAUUUCUAUAAUUUUUUUGGAAGUUGCUUGUUUACACUUCCUGUUUAUUCAGGUAAUAUUAUAUCCUUCGUGGGUCUAUUGAUGGGAUUGAAGAUGAAAUAGUUAUAGUUACAAUUUUUCAUGUUACAAACGUCAGUAAAGAAACUCAUAAAAGAGGUAUAAAGUGUAUAAGGUUGAGAGACAUAAAAGCUUAAAUCAUUUAUCUAAGAAAAUGUUUUGAGGUCUAAAAUGAUAGUUUUAGGAUGGUAAUACAAGUUAUGAUAGAAAAUGGUUUAGGUAUAAAACUUUAAAUUUAUCAAAAUAAGAUAGAUAAUAGAGUAUUUUCUCUGAAUAUGCCAAAUACAAAUGGACUGGACAUUGUGGAUGUAAUUCUUACCUGACAGUUGUUCUUAUUGUAUAUUAGUUUUACUAUGUUAGAGUUAAAACCUUUCCUUUUAAUUUAGACAAAAAGGGGGAAAUGUGUGAUAUUUGUACACUGUGUGAAGAUAUAUUGCUGUGAUUGUUUUAAUAAAGAAUUGAAUGGUCAGUAGCUAGGCGGGAGAUAUAGGUGAAACUUCCAAGUAGAGAGAGGAAGGAGGACAUAAUCAAGGCACAGAGGAGAUGCCAACAAGACAAGGAGAGAGUCGGACAUACAGAAUGAAAGAAAGGUAAAAAGCCUGGCUACAUAGUAAGACUCUGUCUCAAAGAAAUCAAAACCAUAAUAUGUAUCUUUACAUCCAGAACACACAACACACAGCUGAGCAAUUAUGCUCAGAAUACUUCUAUCAUUAAUUCCUUAAAAUAUAAGGAAUAUUUCCUGGAGUUUAUGUGUGUAGAUAUUUAGUAGGGUCCAUUUAACUUAAUGUUUCAGUCGUAUGUAUAAAUAAAUUAAUAUCUGUAAAACAUUGUUUUAAACUGUUAAAAUUUCAAAUCAUAAAAGAACAUGUUUUGGUCAAAAGACACUGAGUUCAUAAAAAUACUAUUUUAGCACUGUAACUUCAUGUCACUGAAUAGUUAACAUAUUUAUAUUAUACACAAAAGCUCUCAGAAAAUAUCUUAUGUAGUCCUGGCCAAUGGACAUGUCAUUGUUACUGAUGACAAUCCCUCUGGGGGACCUUCUCUGUCAUUUCUCAGGCACCUGUUUAUCAAUGACCCUUGAACGGCAGCCCACUACACAACCAGUUCUCUAUAGCUUUUGUUUGUUCUUCCAAUGCCUGAGUCUCUUCCAUUAUUCAGCCUCUUCCAGCUCUACCAGGCAUUCAGGAGCUGUAUGUACUUUCACAGAACUUCCUUAAAUAUAACUUGUUUCAAAGAAUAAGCUAGAACAGAACAGUUCCACCAUAAUAUCCAGUGAAUAUGAAUUGUUAAAUGCUACAUAUUUUGGUACUGCCACCAUUCCCAGGGUAUUUCAUUUCUAUCCAUGUGAUACAAAACUAGAGGGUAAGUCUGUGGAGCACUGCUCUACCACCGGGCUGAGCAGCAACGCUCACAACACCCUUCUUUAUUACCAAGCCUUUGUUACAUAUGGGUGUUUCAUGGGGGUUCAUGUGUGCAGAUCAUUAGUGGGGUUUGUUGGAAUUAACAUUUCAGUUAGCUUAUACUUUAAAAUAAAAAUCAUAUUCAAUGGUAAAGAAACAGGACAUAGUUUGCACCACAUUACUCACUUGGAGAACUCAAUGAGCACACACACACACACCAAUAUCUAUAGCUAUCUUUAUAAUUUAAGAUGUUAAUGAAAUGUUAAUUUUUCAAUACAAAAUUCAUGAGUGUUCAUCCUUCAGCUGCAUUGUGCCCAACUUUGUAGUAGUCCUUAGUGAUUUCUAUUAGCCCCCAAAGUCUCUCUUAGCGCCUUUAGCCUUUCGCUUGUCUCACUGACACCAAAGAAGACACUUUGUAACAACCAUGAGAAUGGAAGCAAUGAAACAAUUUCAAUCUGGAAAACAACA